RNAcentral lists this ribosomal RNA (292 nucleotides) under uncultured bacterium. RNAcentral's name for it is "partial 16S ribosomal RNA". It matches the Rfam family "Bacterial small subunit ribosomal RNA", at positions 505 to 796 of the family's 1533-position model. The record is from RNAcentral.
GUGUCAGCAGCCGCGGUAAUACGGAGGGUGCAAGCGUUGUUCGGAAUUACUGGGCUUAAAGCGCGUGUAGGCGGGAUGCCAAGUGUCGUGUGAAAGCCCCGGGCUCAACCCGGGAAUUGCGCGGCAAACUGGUGUUCUUGAGGCAAGUAGAGGUGACUGGAACGACCGGUGGAGCGGUGAAAUGCGUAGAUAUCGGUUGGAACGCCGGAGGCGAAAGCGGGUCACUGGGCUUGUCCUGACGCUAAGACGCGAAAGCGUGGGGAGCAAACAGGAUUAGAUACCCGUGUAGUCC